Molecule: long non-coding RNA, 236 nt
Filed under: Olea europaea (common olive)
Lineage: Eukaryota; Viridiplantae; Streptophyta; Magnoliopsida; Lamiales; Oleaceae
Description: long non-coding RNA (OEUR_LNC009484)
Source: RNAcentral
UAAAAUCAGUAGCUUUCAAGCACCGCAGAAACCACUCCGACGAACUGAACUAGUGCCUGAACUACACCACCACCAAGACAGAAAUGCAGAAAAGACAGAACUCUAUGCAAAUGAAUUUCUUGUGUAUUCUAAACUUGAAAGUUUUUGCUUUGGUGUAUUGAAAUGAGGAAAAUGAGCCACUAUUUAUAGGCUAGGCUACAAUUAAUGGCAAUGACCUUUGGAGUUUCUCAUCUUUU